UGAAUGUAUGAUGUGGUGUACAGUUAAAAAUCUGAAAAUUGGCUAUAAUAAUAAAGUUUUCCAUUCUAAUUGCUAUGAAGGUCUGAUGUUGUGGAGAAAAAAGUUGGAGGAAAAAGUUACA
Long non-coding RNA from Octopus sinensis (East Asian common octopus), 121 nucleotides. RefSeq lists it as uncharacterized. The transcript has 3 exons. NCBI's taxonomy places the organism in Eukaryota, Metazoa, Mollusca, Cephalopoda, Octopoda, Octopodidae. The record is from RefSeq and is a predicted model, not a curated record.